UCCGGAAUUUAAUUUCAUUGACGAUUCAUUUUCUCUCCCACUCUCUCUCUCUCCCACCCCCCAUUACGCCUCUUUUCUCUUCUCCCUCAUCAGAUGAUUUUGGUCCCAAAACCCUAACCUCCGUCGCGCCUCUACAAUCCUAUCAUUUCUGACGGUGAAGUCGACGAAGAAGAAGUUGAUUUGCUACCACCACCAAGUUGCUGUCACUUGACGACGAGUGACUGACCGAAGAAGACGAAUUUCAAGUAGAAAAUGGUGAACAAACGAGGCAGGUCGAAGAGUCAGCCUACUCAAACGACAUGGUCGAAGCGCCGAAGAAAUCUUGAGGAUGAGGAUGAGCCUGAGGUUGCGGCGCGUAAAUCUAGAAACAAGAAGGAUAAUAAUCUGUAUUUCAGGAGAUCUCCAAAUGAGUUUGUUAAGUAUAUAAAGAGACUCAAUCCAUGACAGAGAGAGGCAGUAAACGAAUUAGGUUUUGGACCAAUACUACACUACAACAUACCCUACCUUCUCGUUAUGUUGGCACACUGGAUACUGUUGGUGUUCAACCCAGACCGAUGCAGGAUUGAGUUUUCCUCUGAAGAAAGCCUACCUAUUUUUGAGGAAGACGUUCAUCUGACGUUUGGUUUCCCAAAAGGAGCUACGCUGAUUGAAUGCCCUGAUAAGGCUCACACCAAUUUCGCGUUCCUUGAUGAUGUAGCUGGAUGUUUAGGUAAAGACCGAUAUAUGUGCACAGCGUCGGAGAUAGGGGAUCUAAUGCUUCUGGACGUUGACGGUGGUCCUGAAUUCAAGAAGCUCUUCAUGUUCUUGCUGGAGAACGCACUAAUUGAGAUGCCUGGAGAUGGAAUGAUGAAGCCAAAGGUUUUGCAUUUCAUCGAAGAUGUUGAUGAGAUAAAGAACAUGAACUGAUGUGGCUACCUGCUAUCUGUCCUCGAGUAUACGUAUGGGAGAUGGAAAUCAAAAAAUAGUGUGUCAUUUACCGGCCCAGUUAGCUUUCUUAUGGUGAGUGAUGUACUGAAUAUGUUGUUAGGGUUUUGUAUACUAGAAAUCACCUUUCGAGUGAUUGGAUACUGUAAAACUCUAAUGGUUAUUUUCCAAUAAAUGCAACAGAUUAUUUUUGUCA
Molecule: long non-coding RNA, 1120 nt
Organism: Salvia splendens (bonfire salvia)
Lineage: Eukaryota; Viridiplantae; Streptophyta; Magnoliopsida; Lamiales; Lamiaceae
Exons: 3
Source: RefSeq, a predicted model, not a curated record